RNAcentral lists this ribosomal RNA (497 nucleotides) under uncultured bacterium. RNAcentral describes it as "partial 16S ribosomal RNA". It matches the Rfam family "Bacterial small subunit ribosomal RNA", at positions 28 to 507 of the family's 1533-position model. The record is from RNAcentral.
GAUGAACGCUGGCGGCGUGCCUAAUACAUGCAAGUCGAGCGAACGGACGAGAAGCUUGCUUCUCUGAUGUUAGCGGCGGACGGGUGAGUAACACGUGGAUAACCUACCUAUAAGACUGGGAUAACUUCGGGAAACCGUAGCUAAUACCGGAUAAUAUUUUGAACCGCAUGGUUCAAAAGUGAAAGACGGUCUUGCUGUCACUUAUAGAUGGAUCCGCGCUGCAUUAGCUAGUUGGUAAGGUAACGGCUUACCAAGGCAACGAUGCAUAGCCGACCUGAGAGGGUGAUCGCCCACACUGGAACUUAGACACCGUCCAGGCUCCUGCGGGAGGCCCCAGUCUGGAAUCUUCCGCAAUGGGCGAAAGCCUGGCGGAGCAACGCCGCGUGAGUGGUGAAGGUCUUCGGAUCGUAAAGCUCUGUUAUUAGGGAAAAACAUAUUUGUAAGUAACUGUGCACAUCUUGACGGUACCUAGUCAGAAAGCCCCGGCUAACUACGUG